CCAGACUCCUACGGGAGGCAGCAGUGAGGAAUAUUGGUCAAUGGGCGGAAGCCUGAACCAGCCAAGUCGCGUGAGGGAGGACGGCCCUAUGGGUUGUAAACCUCUUUUGCCGGGGAGCAACGGGCGUCACGUGUGGCGCCACGGAGAGUACCCGGAGAAAAAGCAUCGGCUAACUCCGUGCCAGCAGCCGCGGUAAUACGGAGGAUGCGAGCGUUAUCCGGAUUUAUUGGGUUUAAAGGGUGCGUAGGCGGCUCGUUAAGACGGGGUUCAAUUGGAGGGGCCCAACCCCUCCCCGCCAUUGAAACUGGCGCUCUUGAGUGGAAGAGAAGUAUGCGGAAUGCGUGGUGUGGCGGUGAAAUGCAUAGAUAUCGCGCAGAACCCCGAUUGCGAAGGCAGCAUGCCGGCUUCCGACUGACGCUGAAGCACGAAAGCGUGGGGAUCGAACAGGAUUAGAUACCCCAGUAA
This 465-nucleotide ribosomal RNA is filed under the name uncultured bacterium. RNAcentral describes it as "bacterial SSU rRNA". It matches the Rfam family "Bacterial small subunit ribosomal RNA", at positions 331 to 793 of the family's 1533-position model. The record is from RNAcentral.